UCUAUCACUUUGAACCCACAUCUCAUUCACUCAUCCAAACGUGUUUCUUCUUUCCUCUUCUACAAUGUGCGAUUUGGGACCACAAACAAUCAUGGCCACCGCUAGUACCCAAAGAAUAAUAACUUCUUUGUAUUAAUUCUUAAAAAUCGAUUUGCAUAAACUUGCCGCAAAGGGAUUUUUUCGUAAGCACGGUGAACCCUGACGAGAUCAUGGAAACUAUAACAAAAGGAACAUGAGUUAUAACAAAUCAAACAGACUGAGCAAUUUGUUUAGAAUGCCAUAACAGUGUUUUUGGGAAAUCUCAGUCUCAGUGAUCUCUUGAUGGAAGAUGAUCAAGAGAUCUACCGAUCUGGAGUUGUAUGAGAAGCAGGCAGAGUAGUAGGAGGAGAGGCAACAUUAGCACCAACUUGUUAGUUUUUGGUACAAUCACCAAAAAUACAACAUAGCAAACAUGUGUCUGGUUUCACAGAGAUAUCAGUUUCAAGCCACGUUGCUGUGAAGAGAAUAGGGGAAUUUGAUGGUGGGCUGUUUCUAUGAAGAAAAAAUACAAGGAGAAUGAAGCUGAAGUAAAAGCUGCAAAUAUGUGUUCAUUGUGGGAACACUAUAUAAAGGACUCAACAUGGCAUCCAUUGGUGAAACGAGAGAAAUUAUUGAUGAUGGGGAUAAAAGACUGAAUGAGCUUAAAAGAAGCAUUGGUAAAGCACCAUAUAUGGAACUAUGAUGAGAACAGGAGAGCAACUUUGCAAGAGGGAAUACAGUUAAUGGUGGAAAACUCAUAAAAUAAACGCAAGAGGGGAUCAGAAACAAUGGGAAGGAAGGAUUAUUGAUGUGUGAUGAAUGGAAGACAUUAACUCAAGAAAGUGCAUAGUUAGUGAGGAGCUUUUUUGGCAUUGCAGCUCGAUAAUUUGUUGCAAGUCCAACCUUUUGUGUUUACAACUUAAGUAAUUUAUGAUAAUGACAGCUUUUGUAUUAAUCUCUAGCGUGAGAGAAGAUACGCAUGUUAAACUUGUAUGAUGUUGUUUCUGGGUAAUGAGCAUUUUGGGACGAGCGAUUUUUGGCCUCCAUUCAUGUCUUUGUGCCAAGACUGUGAUCGCUGUCAACUUUAUUUUUCUAAAUCAUGAUCAUGACAUUAUUUUCUAAGAGUUUAACUUGGAGUAGUAAUAACAAGGUUCGGGAAAGUUCUAACCAAUUAUAAGGACUUGCUGCGGGGGCGGUUAAUGAUGGAAAGGUUCAAAUUAUUUGGUUUGCUAGCAUGCGUUCUGUGGAAGAAGAGAAAUAAGGUUUCAUUCUGUGGGCGAGUGUUUGAGAAUUUAAUUUUGGUAAAGUUAGGGAAGGUGGUGUGGAAGAUGAUUCAAAAAGUUGUGUGAAUUGAUAUAUGAUUGUCAUCAAUCUGAUUUAGCUAUGUUAUUUUUCGUUCAGUCAUAUGCUACAAUGCUUCAUUUUCGUGUAGUCUUGCUAUUUGAUAUUUGUUGAAGUUUAUCAUUUGAUUUUGAAACGAGGUUGUUCGUAUGAUAAUGCGUUAGAGGGCUAAUGGUUUUUGGUGUAAGCAUAAUUGUUCCC
Long non-coding RNA from Medicago truncatula (barrel medic), 1560 nucleotides. RefSeq lists it as uncharacterized. The transcript has 8 exons. Lineage: Eukaryota; Viridiplantae; Streptophyta; Magnoliopsida; Fabales; Fabaceae. The record is from RefSeq and is a predicted model, not a curated record.